UCACCCUCUCAAGCAACAGUCCAAGCUGUACCUUGGCCCAUUUUAGCUAUGGCUGGAGUAAGUGAAACACAGGGUACCAAGACCCUAGGCUGCACAGAGCAGGAGUCCCGAGGCUCUAAGAACAAAUCAGCUUUUUUACCCUAACAUCUAUAUGUGAUCCAUUGUUAAUAUUUUAAUGUUUCCUUUCAUACACACAAUACAUACACACAUAUAUAUGUAUAUUACAUAUGUAGUGCUGAGCUCACUACAGUUGUACACAGCAGCCAAGGAGCAUUUUUCAAGGUUAAACAAUUCAACUACUUAGGACGUUUGUCUAGGGAGAUGUUGAUGUGUGGAUGAGUUUAAUCUUAUUAAUGCUCCACAUGGGUAUUCUAAGGCUGAGUCAAGGCAUUUUUCUAACAUAACAUGACAGCAUUAAAUGAUCCAUUUCUAGUGUGUUUUUAUUCCACACCACACAUUUGUAGACCUAGGACUACAAACAUUAUCUAUGUCAUUAUAAUCACAUUUUUUGGUCCUUUCUAACUCAUCUAUAACGGAAUACUACAGACUGGGUCAUUUAUAAAAAACAAACGUUUAUGUGGCUCACAGUUCUGGAGGCUGGGAAGUCCAAGGGCAUGGCACUGGCAUCCAGCAAGGGUCAUCCCAUGGCAGAAGUAUGGAAGGCAGAAGUAAGUCCAUGAGUCAGAGAGAAACAUUGAUCUGAACUAAUCCUUUUUAUCAAGAACACACUCCUUCAAUAACUAACCUAUUCCUGUGAUAACAGCAGUAAUCUCUUCAAGAGGGUAGAGCCCUCAUGGCCUAAUCACCUCUUAAAUGCCCCACCUCUUAAUACUGUUACAAUGACAAUUAAAUUUCAGCAUG
Molecule: long non-coding RNA, 861 nt
Filed under: Homo sapiens (human)
Lineage: Eukaryota; Metazoa; Chordata; Mammalia; Primates; Hominidae
Description: non-protein coding lnc-RWDD3-5:25
Source: RNAcentral